This 253-nucleotide ribosomal RNA is filed under the name uncultured bacterium. RNAcentral's name for it is "partial 16S ribosomal RNA". It matches the Rfam family "Bacterial small subunit ribosomal RNA", at positions 524 to 776 of the family's 1533-position model. The record is from RNAcentral.
UACAGAGGUCUCAAGCGUUGUUCGGAUUCAUUGGGCGUAAAGGGUGCGUAGGCGGCGCGGUAAGUCGGAUGUGAAAUCUCGGAGCUUAACUUCGAAACUGCAUUCGAUACUGCCGUGCUUGAGGACUGGAGAGGAGAGUGGAAUUCCUGGUGUAGCGGUGAAAUGCGCAGAUAUCAGGAAGAACACCCGUGGCGAAGGCGGCUCUCUGGGACGGUACUGACGCUGAGACGCGAAAGCGUGGGGAGCGAACAGG